CCAGCAGAAUUAAAAUGAACUUUAUUUACAGAUGGUUGACUUUGAAGAUGGACAAGGAGCCCCCAAGGGGGAGGUGGAGGCCCCUGAACUGCCAGAGAUCAAGCUCUUCGGCAAAUGGUCCCUAGAUGAGGUCCAGCUCAGCGACAUGUCCCUCCAGGAUUACAUCGCUGUGAAGAAGUACUAUGCCAAGUACUUGCCCCACUCUGC
Non-coding RNA from Penaeus vannamei (Pacific white shrimp), 207 nucleotides. The record is from RefSeq and is a predicted model, not a curated record. Lineage: Eukaryota; Metazoa; Arthropoda; Malacostraca; Decapoda; Penaeidae.